Molecule: ribosomal RNA, 24 nt
Filed under: Cordyceps militaris
Lineage: Eukaryota; Fungi; Ascomycota; Sordariomycetes; Hypocreales; Cordycipitaceae
Description: partial 18S ribosomal RNA
Source: RNAcentral
UGGUGAACCAGCGGAGGGAUAUUA